Molecule: ribosomal RNA, 253 nt
Filed under: uncultured bacterium
Lineage: Bacteria
Description: partial 16S ribosomal RNA
Rfam family: Bacterial small subunit ribosomal RNA
Source: RNAcentral
UACGGAGGGUGCAAGCGUUAUCCGGAUUUACUGGGUUUAAAGGGUGCGUAGGCGGGCUGUUAAGUCAGUGGUGAAAGAUUCGAGCUCAACUCGGAAACUGCCAUUGAUACUGACAGCCUCGAAUACAGUUGAGGUAGGCGGAAUAUUACAUGUAGCGGUGAAAUGCUUAGAUAUGUAAUAGAACACCGAUUGCGAAGGCAGCUUGCUAAACUGUUAUUGACGCUGAGGCACGAAAGCGUGGGGAUCAAACAGG